AUUUUCAAAUUUUGAGCGCGUCUUUGACUCUUUGUCAUCGGUUCAAGGUUUUAUAGUAGAAUUUAGUGAGUUUUUCUUUCGUAUUUUAACAUAAAAUACGCGUUAUUUGAAUUUGUCAAUGAGUAGUCAUGCGAAAUUGGUGAAACACGCUGGAUUAAUAUGCGAGGAGAUCCGGAUUAUUUGUGAAUAGUGACUGUGAUCGCGAGGAAGAAGUAAUUGUGUCAUGGCCAUGUGGAAUUUCUAAAGUUGAUAAGAAAAUAAUCAAAGGUUCCAUUCAACUAUCUACAAUUUCAACAACAACAUGUGUACAGCUAAAGUAUUAUAAUUCAGUGGCUUCAAGAUCACCUUUGAGUGCAAGAUUCUUGUGACUGAUGCUGAAUCAGAAAUCCUCAAAUUCUGAUGCUGAAUCAGAAAUCCUCAAAUUCUGAUGCUGAAUCAGAAAUGGCAAGUAUUAUUGUAUUUAUGCUGUCAAAACUCAACAACUGCAAAUCCUACUUCUGGUGAAUCAUAUAGAUAAUAUAAUAUACCUUUUAUUUAUAUCAUUAUAAAUAGGGCUAUUACAACUAUUUCUGUCAAUGCUUUUGCAGUACAUUUAUAAAUUCUAUAGCUAUAUCAUCGCAUCAUGCUAAGAAUGAAUAAGGUGUCAAAUGUUUAAAUUUCAUAUUUACUGUUAAAAUUUACAGAUUUUCUUAUAUCCAAACAUAUUAACCAAAGGUCAAAAUUUGGUUUAUGCAAUUAUGGGCAUGUCGAGGAUGCAAGAACAACUUUGCUCUCAUUCCAUCCCUGGGAAACUUUCAAAUGUCUUUAAAGAAAAGGAUGCAAAACCCCAACUCGACCCAGAGAAAAUUAAGAGUAUAUGUGAGCAUCAUUUCGAUGCACAUGUUUAAGAUGCCGAAACAUUGAUUCAAAGAAGCCAUCAAUGCUGGCUGCUCUGGAAAAGAACAAGAACAAAGAUGUCCAACACAUUAUUGGUCUAUUAGAGGAUUGUCACCCGAACUAGAAAAAGGAUGACAGUGGUGUUGAAAUUUAGACCAUUGUAAAAAAAAGAACAUUCCCGAAGUUGCUAUUAACUGGAUCUCUUGGUGACAUCCAUUCACUAGACCUUUUGGCUGAAGGCAUGGUAGCAAUAAAGUUUAAGCAGUUUUCCAUCUUAAAUGCUGUUGUGUGUUUGCUGACUGCAUUGUAUGUAUCCAACACAGAGAACCCUAAAGAUGGAGGUGGGUAGACAAAGAAUGUGUUCCUUCUUCUGGACCAGAUAUUACUACAAACAGACGGAAAAACGAACAUUCCAAUUGGAGUUAAAAACUUUUUACCGCAGCUUUGAGAACCUGGAAAUGACUUAAGUAUAGAUAGAUGAAUCCUAGUAAGAUAAGUGUUUGAAUGUAGUAAUUUGUAUAUAUGUAUGCAAAUAACCAUUAGGAUAAUUUAUUUAUUAUAUUAGAUCUUUUAUAAUAUAUUUGUGUGUUUUGACAAAAUUUGAUUUGAAGUGCUCUGAAUUUCAGGAUAAUUUAACCAAUCUUUAAUUGGUUGAAAUAAUUGGUCAAAAAAACCAUUGCACAUUGGUUACAUUAACCAAAUUCAAUAUAGGUUACAUCAACCUAUUAAAUAUUGGUAGAUUCAACCAAUAUUAAUAUUGGUAAUUUUAACCAAAAUGAAUUUGGUAAAAAAAUAACCAAAUUUUAAUUGGUUGUCCUGGUUGCAUCCAGGAGAACCUUUUUUUUUUGGUUGUUUCAACCAUUCAUUUU
RNAcentral lists this long non-coding RNA (1745 nucleotides) under Dendronephthya gigantea. RNAcentral describes it as "uncharacterized LOC114521146". The record is from RNAcentral. Lineage: Eukaryota; Metazoa; Cnidaria; Anthozoa; Malacalcyonacea; Nephtheidae.